AAAUACAGUUAAUGCAAUAUUAAUCGCCCUUUGGUGAUAUAAAAUGCAAUAUUUUCAGGCAGCUAUUGAGCUUUUCCAGAGGAAGAGCUGAUGAAAAGAGUCACAGCUGAAUAGUGGAGAGAAAAAGCCUGGUAUUUAUUGCUUUUGUUUGGCUUUUGGCUACAGAGACAGGAACCUUCUAAUGGGCCCUGCACUGCCAGCCUGGGUGGGCAGAACAUAACCAAGAUGACCACCAGAAACUCAGAGGUCCCCUCAGAUAAGUGGUGGAGAGAUAGAAGACAAAGAGGAGCAGAAGGAUGUGGGCACAAUGAAGAGACACAAAAAUGGAGCGAGGAACAACCUGAUAUAUGGUCAGCAGAGUAUAGCAAAGAUGAGAAGUCAACAAAAUUCGUGUAUCAUAGCUGAUUCAUAAAAAAGAUUAUUUCUGCUAAGACUGGCAUAGGUGUGAGAAGUGGGCCUGAUUCAGAUGGUCCACAGAAGCUGACUGUCUCCUGAAGGCUCCAAGGGGAGAUCUUUGCCAGCUGCAGAUAGUUUAAAUCUGAGGAAUCUGGAGAGAGACCAAAUGCCACAGCCCAGAGAGUGUUGGGAGCUCACAGAAAGAGCAAGGCUGCUUCUGCUUCACCCUUGCUGCUUUCGGUAGCUGCUGUGUGAUAAGAAGUUGGAGAUCUCCUGAAAGGAUGGCUGGACUGGCUCCAAGGAACCCAGGGCCCUAACCAGCAGGAAGCAGCUAAGAGAACUGCGCCCCCUCUCCCACUAACCCUUUCCCUCUCCUGCCUGGUGUUGGGGUGUUGGAAAGGAUUAAGGUGGAGUUGGAAGAAAAAGAUAAAAGAUUUUUUGUUUGUUUUGUUUUUAAGGAUACCAACAGUCCCUAAAUCAUAUCUCCUCAGAAAAGCCUAAGUUCUCCACAUAGGCAUCACAUCCUAAAGUUUCCAUAGCCUUCCAAAGCAGACAUCAGCUAGGAAUCAGGAAGCUCCACUUAAUAUUUUGAUGUCGACCUCUGCAUCAGGUCCUAUCAGUUGCUGGGUGAAGCCUCUCUGGUGACAUAUAUGCUAGGCUCCUGUCUGCAAGUAUGGCAGAAUAUGUAGUUCAUUUUUAAAGAACUAUAUGUUUAUUAUUUGAAUAUUGUAGAUAUUAAUGCUCUGUUGGAUAAAUAACUACCCACAAUUAUGUCCCAUUUUAUAAGCUGUCUCUUCUCUGAAUUAACUACACUGAUUUUUUAAAAAUUUUAUAGAGUCCUACCUGUCAAUUACUGUUAUUAAUGAAAUCCUUUCCUGUACUGUCAGCGGAUUAGUGAGUGCACCGUGACGAUUUUUAUUGACACUAUUAUUUGUUUAUUAAUGUACUGCAUUGGCUAAGUAGAUCCUAUUUUUGAAAUACAUUUAAAUAAAUCAUACAUAA
Meriones unguiculatus (Mongolian gerbil) is the source of this 1398-nucleotide long non-coding RNA. RefSeq lists it as uncharacterized. The record is from RefSeq and is a predicted model, not a curated record. NCBI's taxonomy places the organism in Eukaryota, Metazoa, Chordata, Mammalia, Rodentia, Muridae. The transcript has 5 exons.